This 69-nucleotide transfer RNA is filed under the name Kaloula conjuncta conjuncta. RNAcentral's name for it is "tRNA-Pro". It matches the Rfam family "tRNA". Rfam says of the family: Transfer RNA (tRNA) molecules are approximately 80 nucleotides in length. The record is from RNAcentral. Lineage: Eukaryota; Metazoa; Chordata; Amphibia; Anura; Microhylidae.
CAGAAUAUAAUUUAAUUAGAAUAUUGGCUUUGGGGGUCAGUAGUAGAGGUUCAAUUCCUUUUGUCUUGA